This 368-nucleotide ribosomal RNA is filed under the name uncultured bacterium. Its description in RNAcentral is "bacterial SSU rRNA". It matches the Rfam family "Bacterial small subunit ribosomal RNA", at positions 30 to 403 of the family's 1533-position model. The record is from RNAcentral.
AUUGAACGCUGGCGGCAUGCUUUACACAUGCAAGUCGAACGGGCUGGGGGCGAACUCCAGUCAGUGGCGGAACGGGUGAGUAAUACAUCGGAACGUACCUCGUAGUGGGGAGUAACUCGGCGAAAGCCGUGCUAAUACCGCAUAUGCUCUACGGAGGAAAGCAGGGGACCGCAAGGCCUUGUGCUAUGGGAGCGGCCGAUGUCCGAUUAGCUAGUUGGUGAGGUAANGGCUCACCAAGGCGACGAUCGGUAGCUGGUCUGAGAGGAUGAUCAGCCACACUGGGACUGAGACACGGCCCAGACUCCUACGGGAGGCAGCAGUGGGGAAUUUUGACAAUGGGGGCAACCCUGAUCCAGCCAUGCCGCGUG